This is a small nuclear RNA of Mesoplodon densirostris (Blainville's beaked whale), 123 nucleotides long. Lineage: Eukaryota; Metazoa; Chordata; Mammalia; Artiodactyla; Ziphiidae. The record is from RefSeq and is a predicted model, not a curated record.
UAGCUGGAUCAAAGGAGAGAUGGUGUAUAGCGAUCCCUCAGGAAAGGACGGACGGACUAGGGUUCCACUCACUUAGUAAUUGCACAUAUCACUUCUUUUUUUUUUUUCAUAUUACUUCUUUUG